GGUGAAGGAGAAACCAAAGAACAAGCUAAGGAUUUGCGUUGAAAUGGAGUUGCUUGUAUUCCUCCUUUGCACCCUUUAAUGGUGGUUUGAGGUAUGCGUGCGGUGGUGCCAGCGUUGAGGAAAUAGAUAAUUGGAUUGCUGGUGUCGGCAUUGUGCGAAUGGAUAACUAGAUUUUGACGGAGGUGGUGGUGAUGUGGUAGGGUGGAGGGUGGAUGACUGGAUUUGGUCGGAAGGAGUGUUUGUGGAGUGGUGGCGCGGUUAGUGAUUUUAGAGAUCGGUGGGAGUGGGAUAGGGGUUGGGGUUUUGGAUUUUGGAGGAUGGUAAACUAUUUUUCUUUUAUAUUUUCUUUUAUAUUUUAAUUUUUCUUAUUUG
RNAcentral lists this long non-coding RNA (372 nucleotides) under Olea europaea (common olive). RNAcentral's name for it is "long non-coding RNA (OEUR_LNC012563)". The record is from RNAcentral. Lineage: Eukaryota; Viridiplantae; Streptophyta; Magnoliopsida; Lamiales; Oleaceae.